AGCAUAUCAAUAAGCGGAGGAAAAGAAACUAACAAGGAUUCCCCUAGUAACUGCGAGUGAAGCGGGAAAAGCUCAAAUUUAAAAUCUGGCAGUCUUUGGCUGUCCGAGUUGUAGUCUGGAGAAGCGCUUUCCGCGCUGGACCGUGUACAAGUCUCCUGGAACGGAGCGUCAUAGAGGGUGAGAAUCCCGUCUUUGACACGGACUACCAGUGCUUUGUGAUGCGCUCUCAAAGAGUCGAGUUGUUUGGGAAUGCAGCUCAAAAUGGGUGGUAAACUCCAUCUAAAGCUAAAUAUUGGCGAGAGACCGAUAGCGAACAAGUACCGUGAGGGAAAGAUGAAAAGCACUUUGGAAAGAGAGUUAAACAGUACGUGAAAUUGCUGAAAGGGAAACGCUUGAAGUCAGUCGCGUUUGCUAGGACUCAGCCUUGCCUCGGCUUGGUGCAUUUCCUAGUAGACGGGCCAGCAUCACUUUUGGCUGCGGGAAAAAGGUCAGAGGAAUGUGGCACCUCCGGGUGUGUUAUAGCCUCUGGCUGUAUACCGUGGCUGGGAGUGAGGAACUCAGCACGCCUUCAUGGCGGGGCUUCGGCCACCUUCGUGCUUAGGAUGCUGGCGUAAUGGCUUUAAACGACCCGUCUUGAAACACGGACCAAGGAGUCUAACAUGCCUGCGAGUGUUUGGGUGGAAAACCCGAGCGCGUAAUGAAAGUGAAAGUUGGGACCUCUGUCGUGGAGGGCACCGACGCCCGGACCAGACCUUCUGUGACGGAUCCGCGGUAGAGCAUGUAUGUUGGGACCCGAAAGAUGGUGAACUAUGCCUGAAUAGGGUGAAGCCAGAGGAAACUCUGGUGGAGGCUCGUAGCGAUUCUGACGUGCAAAUCGAUCGUCAAAUUUGGGUAUAGGGGCGAAAGACUAAUCGAACCAUCUAGUAGCUGGUUC
This 934-nucleotide ribosomal RNA is filed under the name Phanerochaete stereoides. RNAcentral's name for it is "partial large subunit ribosomal RNA". It matches the Rfam family "Eukaryotic large subunit ribosomal RNA", at positions 37 to 957 of the family's 3401-position model. The record is from RNAcentral. Lineage: Eukaryota; Fungi; Basidiomycota; Agaricomycetes; Polyporales; Phanerochaetaceae.